GCGGGUAUCGACCCCUGCUGUGUCGUAGCUAACGCGUUAAGUCUUUCGCCUGGGGAGUACGGCCGCAAGGCUAAAACUCAAAGAAAUUGACGGGGGCCCGCACAAGCGGUGGAGCAUGUGGUUUAAUUCGAUGCAACGCGCAGAACCUCACCUGGGCUUGAAAUCCUCGGACCGCUAUAGAGAUAUAGUUUUCCACUUCGGUGGACUGAGUGACAGGUGCUGCAUGGCUGUCGUCAGCUCGUGUCGUGAGAUGUCAGGUUAAGUCCUAUAACGAGCGCAACCCUUGUUGCUAGUUGCCAGCAUUCAGUUGGGCACUCUAGUGAGACUGCCGGUGUCAAACCGGAGGAGGGUGGGGAUGACGUCAAGUCCUCAUGGCCCUUAUGCCCAGGGCUACACACGUGCUACAAUGAUCGGUACAAAGAGCAGCCAACUCGCGAGAGUGCGCAAAUCUCAAAAAACCGACCUCAGUACGGAUUGGAGUCUGCAACUCGACUCCAUGAAGGUGGAAUCGCUAGUAAUCGUAGAUCAGCAUGCUACGGUGAAUACGUUCCCGGGCCUUGUACACACCGCCCGUCACACCAUGGGAGUUGACUACUCCAGAAGUCGUUGAGCUAACCCGCAAGGGAGGCAGGCGCCCAAGGAGUGGUUGGUAACUGGGGUGAAGUCGUAACAAGGUAGCCG
This 681-nucleotide ribosomal RNA is filed under the name uncultured bacterium. RNAcentral's name for it is "bacterial SSU rRNA". It matches the Rfam family "Bacterial small subunit ribosomal RNA", at positions 825 to 1502 of the family's 1533-position model. The record is from RNAcentral.